AUUGAACGCUGGCGGCAUGCCUUACACAUGCAAGUCGAACGGCAGCACGGGUGCUUGCACCUGGUGGCGAGUGGCGAACGGGUGAGUAAUACAUCGGAACAUGUCCUGUAGUGGGGGAUAGCCCGGCGAAAGCCGGAUUAAUACCGCAUACGAUCYACGGAUGAAAGCGGGGGACCUUCGGGCCUCGCGCUAUAGGGUUGGCCGAUGGCUGAUUAGCUAGUUGGUGGGGUAAAGGCCUACCAAGGCGACGAUCAGUAGCUGGUCUGAGAGGACGACCAGCCACACUGGGACUGAGACACGGCCCAGACUCCUACGGGAGGCAGCAGUGGGGAAUUUUGGACAAUGGGCGAAAGCCUGAUCCAGCAAUGCCGCGUGUGUGAAGAAGGCCUUCGGGUUGUAAAGCACUUUUGUCCGGAAAGAAAUCCUUGGCUCUAAUACAGUCGGGGGAUGACGGUACCGGAAGAAUAAGCACCGGCUAACUACGUGCCAGCAGCCGCGGUAAUACGUAGGGUGCGAGCGUUAAUCGGAAUUACUGGGCGUAAAGCGUGCGCAGGCGGUCUGUUAAGACAGAUGUGAAAUCCCCGGGCUCAACCUGGGAACUGCAUUUGUGACUGGCAGGCUAGAGUAUGGCAGAGGGGGGUAGAAUUCCACGUGUAGCAGUGAAAUGCGUAGAGAUGUGGAGGAAUACCGAUGGCGAAGGCAGCCCCCUGGGCCAAUACUGACGCUCAUGCACGAAAGCGUGGGGAGCAAACAGGAUUAGAUACCCUGGUAGUCCACGCCCUAAACGAUGUCAACUAGUUGUUGGGGAUUCAUUUCCUUAGUAACGUAGCUAACGCGUGAAGUUGACCGCCUGGGGAGUACGGUCGCAAGAUUAAAACUCAAAGGAAUUGACGGGGACCCGCACAAGCGGUGGAUGAUGUGGAUUAAUUCGAUGCAACGCGAAAAACCUUACCUACCCUUGACAUGGUCGGAAUCCUGAAGAGAUUCGGGAGUGCUCGAAAGAGAACCGGCGCACAGGUGCUGCAUGGCUGUCGUCAGCUCGUGUCGUGAGAUGUUGGGUUAAGUCCCGCAACGAGCGCAACCCUUGUCCUUAGUUGCUACGCAAGAGCACUCUAAGGAGACUGCCGGUGACAAACCGGAGGAAGGUGGGGAUGACGUCAAGUCCUCAUGGCCCUUAUGGGUAGGGCUUCACACGUCAUACAAUGGUCGGAACAGAGGGUUGCCAACCCGCGAGGGGGAGCUAAUCCCAGAAAACCGAUCGUAGUCCGGAUUGCACUCUGCAACUCGAGUGCAUGAAGCUGGAAUCGCUAGUAAUCGCGGAUCAGCAUGCCGCGGUGAAUACGU
RNAcentral lists this ribosomal RNA (1344 nucleotides) under Burkholderia multivorans. Its description in RNAcentral is "bacterial SSU rRNA". It matches the Rfam family "Bacterial small subunit ribosomal RNA", at positions 28 to 1371 of the family's 1533-position model. RNAcentral also lists the same sequence under 1 other name. Lineage: Bacteria; Pseudomonadati; Pseudomonadota; Betaproteobacteria; Burkholderiales; Burkholderiaceae. The record is from RNAcentral.